GAUGAAGAACGUAGCGAAAUGCGAUACUUGGUGUGAAUUGCAGAAUCCCGUGAACCAUCGAGUCUUUGAACGCAAGUUGCGCCCGAAGCCAUUAGACCGAGGGCACGCCUGCCUGGGUGUCACACGUCGUUGCCCCCCCAUCUACUCCUUCGGGAUUGCGGGGGGCGGAUGAUGGCCUCCCGUGCGCCUCGUCGCGCGGUUGGCAUAAAUGCCAAGUCCUCGGCGACGCACGCCACGACAAUCGGUGGUUGCGAAACCUCGGUUGCCCGUCGUGUGCGGUCGUCGCGCAUCGAGGGCUCGAAAAAAUUGCCGGGCUCCGGCUCGGCUUUCAACGCGACCCCAGGUCAGGCGGGGUUACCCGCUGAAUUUAAGCAUAUCAAUAAGCGGAGGA
This 391-nucleotide unclassified non-coding RNA is filed under the name soil metagenome. Its description in RNAcentral is "partial contains 5.8S ribosomal RNA, internal transcribed spacer 2, and large subunit ribosomal RNA". The stretch from base 1 to 122 matches the Rfam family "5.8S ribosomal RNA", at positions 35 to 154 of the family's 154-position model. The record is from RNAcentral.